Molecule: ribosomal RNA, 232 nt
Filed under: uncultured bacterium
Lineage: Bacteria
Description: partial 16S ribosomal RNA
Rfam family: Bacterial small subunit ribosomal RNA
Source: RNAcentral
CGGACGGGUGAGUAAUGUCUGGGAAACUGCCUGAUGGAGGGGGAUAACUACUGGAAACAGUAGCUAAUACCGCAUAACGUCGCAAGACCAAAGAGGGGGACCUUAGGGCCUCUUGCCAUCGGAUGUGCCCAGAUGGGAUUAGCUUGUUGGUGGGGUAACGGCUCACCAAGGCGACGAUCCCUAGCUGGUCUGAGAGGAUGACCAGCCACACUGGAACUGAGACACGGUCCAG